UGGCUAACGGGUGAGUAACACGUGAGCAACCUGCCCUUGACUUUGGGAUAACUUCAGGAAACUGGGGCUAAUACCGGAUAGGAGCUCCUGCUGCAUGGUGGGGGUUGGAAAGUUUCGGCGGUUGGGGAUGGACUCGCGGCUUAUCAUCUUGUUGGUGGGGUAGUGGCUUACCAAGGCUUUGACGGGUAGCCGGCCUGAGAGGGUGACCGGCCACAUUGGGACUGAGAUACGGCCCAG
RNAcentral lists this ribosomal RNA (237 nucleotides) under uncultured Actinomycetales bacterium. RNAcentral describes it as "partial 16S ribosomal RNA". It matches the Rfam family "Bacterial small subunit ribosomal RNA", at positions 96 to 334 of the family's 1533-position model. The record is from RNAcentral. Lineage: Bacteria; Bacillati; Actinomycetota; Actinomycetes; Actinomycetales.